UUGGGGGCAGGGUGGGUGGGGAUGAGGAUGGUGUAUUACUCCUUCCAAGUGAAAGGAAUUUAGGUGUAGCAGGGUAUUGAUACUUUCAAUGUUAGGGUCCUUGCCCCAUGGUCUUUGAGCAAACUUUCAGCACUCUUCUUUGGCUUACUGCUUCCCGAGCUUUUGUUAAGAUUGUCAGGUACGUCUGCUGGAGGCUUGGGAAGGGUCGGCAGUAGUUGUUGGUGCACCUAAAUAGGGCUUAUUAAGCUAGAGGAUCUUUGGGCCUUAAAAUUUGGUGCAUGCUGUCAGUCAUCCCUUUUAUUUUUUGAACUCAGAGUGGUUAACUACAUUUUGAUAGUUUCCUUUAUUCUUUUCACUGCUUUCUGUUUAGUUGUUCUGACCAUGCCUAUGGAAAUUCUUUGGAUCGUAAUGUAUGCUCCGUUGCAUCGUUCUUGGCAAUAGUGGCUUUGCUACUUUUGCAUUCUCUUGAGCUGGCUUUAAGUUUGAGAAUUUUCCUGUGGUCUUGCACUUUGCCUGACAACCUGUUACCCAUCUGUUUUUCACUAUUUCUCUGACUUCUAUGUUUUUAUAUCCUUCCUUUUUUGUUUGCAUAUGUUCUUUUUUUGCUCAUUUUGUUUUCUCUUUUCUUUCUAUUGCUUUAUUGAGCCAACUGAGUAUUCUGGAAUAAGAGAUGAUACCUUUAUUAUCCGAGUUUUGCUCUUUUCACUGCAUGCCCAGUGUCCCACAUUAUCCUCUGUCUCACGCUUUCUUUCCUAGGUUCAUAACUCCAGGAAUUUUGCAUAUGAGCCUCAAUUUUCCUGCUCAACCUUGCAGUGGCAGGCACAAAGUGCUGCACCUGAUCAGAUGUGGAAGCAAGUGGACAAGAGGAUCAUGCUCUGCAAUACACAUACCCCUCACUACUUUCAGCUUCAGUGUCCUGAAGAACAGUUCCCUUCUGGAUCUUUAGAAAGCUUCUGCCUGCACACUUCUCCUAGGGAGAACACAGAUUCUCCAAUAAAAUAUCAUAUCCAUCUGCA
Molecule: long non-coding RNA, 1016 nt
Filed under: Struthio camelus australis
Lineage: Eukaryota; Metazoa; Chordata; Aves; Struthioniformes; Struthionidae
Description: lncRNA (ENSSCUG00000010542.1)
Source: RNAcentral